This 391-nucleotide unclassified non-coding RNA is filed under the name Hevea brasiliensis (rubber tree). The record is from RNAcentral. Lineage: Eukaryota; Viridiplantae; Streptophyta; Magnoliopsida; Malpighiales; Euphorbiaceae.
UGCAAAGUUCAUUGAUGAUGCAUUCUUCAACAAUGCAUACUAUGCUAAAGUUGGAGGAGUAAGCACAGCAGAGUUGAACAGGUUGGAGAGGAAGUUUUUGUUUAGCAUAGAUUUCAGGCUUCACGUAAAUGUCAACACAUUUGGGAGAUACUGUUCUGAGUUGGAAAAAGAAACUGCUGAAGGAUUUCAGAUUGAACGACCAAUCCAAACCUGCAGAAUCAAAGAAAGUUGGUCAAACAAAGAUGACUCAACCACUUGUGCUCCCACCAUUGCGAGAUGAAGAUUCCAAAUCAUCUCACUGCGUCAUUCUAAUCCUACAUUCAUUUAAAUACGCUCAAGUUAUAUAUUCUAAAUAUGCAAUUAGAUGUCUGUCACUUUAGUUUGAAUAUUU